Molecule: ribosomal RNA, 830 nt
Filed under: Cantharellus coccolobae
Lineage: Eukaryota; Fungi; Basidiomycota; Agaricomycetes; Cantharellales; Hydnaceae
Description: eukaryotic LSU rRNA
Rfam family: Eukaryotic large subunit ribosomal RNA
Source: RNAcentral
GAGUGAAGAGGGAAGAGCUCAUCAUUGGAAUCUGGCAGCGGGUUUGCGCUGUCCGAGUUGUAGAUGAGAAGAGUAGGCCAUCUGGACUGCAUGGUGUCCAAGUACAAUAGGCCGUCAGUGGGACAUCAUAGAGGGUGACAAUCCCGUCCUUGACACCAAUGUACGAGUCCAUUGCGAUGCCUAUCUCAGAGAGUCGAGCAGUUUGGGAUUUGCUGCUUAAACAUGGGAGGUAGAUUCCUUCUAAAGCUAAAUACAGGCAAGAGACCGAUAGAGAACAAGUACCGCAAGGGAAAGAUGAAAUAGAACUCUGUGAAGGGAGUCAAAAAGACGUGAAAUUGUUGCGAGAGAAGCGAUUCAAGUCAGCGUAGCUAGGCCCAUCAAGCCUCGCUUUGGACUAGCUUUGCCAGCGGUCUCGUCUCUUUUUAGAGACUUGACUUUUUUAACGUGCCCUGCCCGGUCUAACGGGCAGACCCACCAACACAUUGGGGGGCCAGAGUGGCAUGGCUGGUGGAAUGGCUUGCAAUCGACCCGUCUUGAAACACGGACCAAGGAGUCUAACAUGUGUGCGAGUAUAAGGGUGGCAAACCCGUAUGCGCAAAGAAAGUGAUAGCCUUUUUUAUGGCUGAGAAUGGCCUGAUGACCAGACAAGCAAUAUAUGUCCCUCAUACGGUCAUUGCCCAAGUCCCGUGGUCAGAUCCCAUGGACAUGGAGUUGGAGCAUACAUGCUAGGACCCGAAAGAUGGUGAACUAUGCCUGGACAAAGCGAAGCCAAAGGAAACUCUGGUGGAGGCUUGUAGCGAUUCUGACGUGCAAAUCGAUCGUCUGAUCUG